CUACGUGCCAGCAGCCGCGGUAAUACGUAUGUCGCAAGCGUUAUCCGGAAUUAUUGGGCAUAAAGGGCAUCUAGGCGGCCAGAUAAGUCUGGGGUGAAAACUUGCGGCUCAACCGCAAGCCUGCCCUGGAAACUAUGUGGCUAGAGUACUGGAGAGGUGGACGGAACUGCACGAGUAGAGGUGAAAUUCGUAGAUAUGUGCAGGAAUGCCGAUGAUGAAGAUAGUUCACUGGACGGUAACUGACGCUGAAGUGCGAAAGCUAGGGGAGCAAACAGGAUUAGAUACCCUGGUAGUCCUAGCUGUAAACGAUGAUUACUGGGUGUGGGCAUGAAGAGUGUCCGUGCCGAAGCUAAUGCGAUAAGUAAUCCGCCUGGGGAGUACGGCCGCAAGGCUGAAACUCAAAGGAAUUGACGGGGACCCGCACAAGCGGUGGAGCAUGUGGUUUAAUUCGACGCAACGCGAGGAACCUUACCAGAUCUUGACAUCC
RNAcentral lists this ribosomal RNA (487 nucleotides) under uncultured bacterium. RNAcentral describes it as "bacterial SSU rRNA". It matches the Rfam family "Bacterial small subunit ribosomal RNA", at positions 501 to 989 of the family's 1533-position model. The record is from RNAcentral.